RNAcentral lists this ribosomal RNA (406 nucleotides) under uncultured bacterium. RNAcentral describes it as "partial 16S ribosomal RNA". It matches the Rfam family "Bacterial small subunit ribosomal RNA", at positions 30 to 526 of the family's 1533-position model. The record is from RNAcentral.
AUUGAACGCUGGCGGCAGGCCUAACACAUGCAAGUCGAACGAGUGGCGGACGGGUGAGUAAUGUCUGGGAAUCUGCCUGAUGGCGGGGGAUAACUACUGGCAACGGUAGCUCAUACCGCAUACCAUCGGAUGAGCCCAGAUGGGAUUAGCUCGUAGGUGAGGUAACGGCUCACCUAGGCGACGAUCCCUAGCUGGUCUGAGAGGAUGAUCAGCCACAAUGGGAAUGAGACACGGGCCAGACUCCUACGGGAGGCAGCAGUGGGGAAUAUUGCACAAUGGGCGCAAGCCGGAUGCAGCCAUGCCGCGUGUAUGAAGAAGGCCUUCGGGUUGUAAAGUACUUUCAGUGGGGAGGCGUUACUGACAGAAGAAGCACCGGCUAACGCCGUGCCAGCAGCCGCGGUAAUUC